UAGGGAAUCUUCCACAAUGGACGCAAGUCUGAUGGAGCAACGCCGCGUGAGUGAAGAAGGUUUUCGGACCGUAAAGCUCUGUUGUUGGUGAAGAAGGAUAGAGGUAGUAACUGGCCUUUAUUUGACGGUAAUCAACCAGAAAGUCACGGCUAACUACGUGCCAGCAGCCGCGGUAAUACGUAGGUGCAAGCGUUGUCCGAUUAUUGGGCGUAAAGCGAGCGCAGGCGGAAGAAUAAGUCUGAUGUGAAAGCCCUCGGCUUAACCGAGGAAUUGCAUCGGAAACUGUUUUCUUGAGUGCAGAAGAGGAGAGUAGAACUCCAUGUGUAGCGGUGGAAUGCGUAGAUAUAUGGAAGAAUACCAGUGGCGAAGGCGGCUCUCUGGUCUGCAACUGACGCUGAGGCUCGAAAGCAUGGGUAGCGAACAGGAUUAGAUACCCUGGUAGUCCAUGCCGU
Molecule: ribosomal RNA, 452 nt
Filed under: uncultured bacterium
Lineage: Bacteria
Description: partial 16S ribosomal RNA
Rfam family: Bacterial small subunit ribosomal RNA
Source: RNAcentral